Molecule: ribosomal RNA, 492 nt
Filed under: uncultured bacterium
Lineage: Bacteria
Description: partial 16S ribosomal RNA
Rfam family: Bacterial small subunit ribosomal RNA
Source: RNAcentral
AGUGAACGCUGGCGGUAGGCCUAACACAUGCAAGUCGAACGGCAGCACAGUAAGAGCUUGCUCUUACGGGUGGCGAGUGGCGGACGGGUGAGGAAUACAUCGGAAUCUACUUUUUCGUGGGGGAUAACGUAGGGAAACUUACGCUAAUACCGCAUACGACCUACGGGUGAAAGCAGGGGAUCUUCGGACCUUGCGCGAUUGAAUGAGCCGAUGUCGGAUUAGCUAGUUGGCGGGGUAAAGGCCCACCAAGGCGACGACCCGUAGCUGGUCUGAGAGGAUGAUCAGACACACUGGAACUGAGACACGGUCCAGACUCCUACGGGAGGCAGCAGUGGGGAAUAUUGGACAAUGGGCGCAAGCCUGAUCCAGCCAUACCGCGUGGGUGAAGAAGGCCUUCGGGUUGUAAAGCCCUUUUGUUGGGAAAGAAAAGCAGCAGGUUAAUACCCCGCUGUUCUGACGGUACCCAAAGAAUAAGCACCGGCUAACUUCGUG